GUUUAGUGGUCAUUUUCUUCUAUAUUCAUUACGGUUGAAAUUCAUGUUUUUUGUUAAAAGAUCUCAGAUGUUAUAAAAAACGGCUCCCCUUCUAUGACGGUAUUAUGUAAAGUAUAAUCUUGUAUUAAUAUAGAUUGUUUUGAAUGCAGAGUUUGCGACUACAUGGCUUGUUAGUUCUCCUGCAUUGUUUUUGGGCUUUGACGGGUGGUUCGUGGUUGGUACUGCACAUUCAGCCAAUGUGCUCCCCUAUUUGAGACGGAAGAGGUUUCCUUUCACAACAAAUUUUUACAUGCUAAAGGCUAGAGCACUGGUUGUUCCCGUUGGAUAUUACAUGCAUAUGCAGGCACGAAAUUGAAACAGUGAUACCAAGAAUUCCUCAAAAGAUAGUGUUGUCAUAACUCACAACGGUUUGCUUUCACCGCCAAGUACUCCUUCUGCUGAACCUGAUUAUGAGAAUAAGAUUCUUUCAGAUGCAUUGCCUGAAAUUGUUCCUUAUGUCUUGAUUGAUCAUCGAGAGGAGCUUCUUCCUCUGAUGAUGUGUGCAAUUGAGCGUCACCCGAGUAGCAACACAAGGGAUUCCUUGACUCACACAUUGUUUAACUUGAUUAAGCGUCCAGAUGUUUUGGAAUCAAAUGGUGUAUGAAACCUGUUGUUGUAAACGAAUGGCGGUGACGAAGAAAGAAACAACAAGACAACAACAUCAGUAGAGUGACCGAGUGACUGAUCGAGUCAUUCUUGCUGAUACUGAUGUACUGUAUAUUGUUCAUGCAGCUGUAGCCUAAAGGCCUUUUAAUUUGAGAUAUUUAUACAAGCUUUUGUAGCAGUUCAACAAGUCCAAUCUGUUAACUAGCCAGCUUCAACUGCCACAACUAAACAAACGGACCCUCAGGAUGGGCAUUGGCGCUUGAAACUGCUCCAAGCUCUAAUGGGAGUGUCACAUCUACAAGCAAAUUGGUAAACACUUAUAGCUUGUCAUAGGGUGGCAAAGUUCAUGGCUGUUGUAAUUAAGUAGCACAAUGUGUUUUAAUAUCAAAUGAGAUCAAAAGUGGCAUUGAGUUAAUUAUUUUUGGUAGUAUCUGUUCUAUGUUUCAGUGUCUGUUAUUAUUUUUUCAUAUAAGUUUUAAGGUGUUCAUCUUA
Molecule: long non-coding RNA, 1137 nt
Filed under: Helianthus annuus (common sunflower)
Lineage: Eukaryota; Viridiplantae; Streptophyta; Magnoliopsida; Asterales; Asteraceae
Description: hypothetical non coding rna
Source: RNAcentral